Molecule: ribosomal RNA, 527 nt
Filed under: uncultured Doratomyces
Lineage: Eukaryota; Fungi; Ascomycota; Sordariomycetes; Microascales
Description: eukaryotic LSU rRNA
Rfam family: Eukaryotic large subunit ribosomal RNA
Source: RNAcentral
UCAGUAACGGCGAGUGAAGCGGCAACAGCUCAAAUUUGAAAUCUGGUCACCUUACGGAGGCCCGAGUUGUAAUUUGAAGAGGAUGCUUUUGGCGAGGUGCCUUCCGAGUGCCCUGGAACGGGACGCCACAGAGGGUGAGAGCCCCGUAUGGUUGGACACCGAGCCUAUGUAAAGCUCCUUCGACGAGUCGAGUAGUUUGGGAAUGCUGCUCAAAAUGGGAGGUAAACCCCUUCUAAAGCUAAAUAUUGGCCAGAGACCGAUAGCGCACAAGUAGAGUGAUCGAAAGAUGAAAAGCACUUUGAAAAGAGAGUUAAACAGCACGUGAAAUUGUUGAAAGGGAAGCGCUUGCGACCAGACUUGCGCCCGUCGGAUCAACCGUCGCUUGUCGGCGGCGCACUCCGGCGGGCUCAGGCCAGCAUCAGUUUUCCCGGGGGGAGAAAGGCGGUGGGAAUGUAGCUCCUAGGAGUGUUAUAGCCCGCCGCGUAAUACCCUCGGGGGGACUGAGGACCGCGCAUCUGCAAGGAUGC